CUGCUAGUAGCUCAACGGAUGAGCGCCCUUUUCGCAAAGGGGAGGAUGCCGGUUCGAAUCCGGUCUAGCCCU
Molecule: transfer RNA, 72 nt
Filed under: Actinomycetota bacterium
Lineage: Bacteria; Bacillati; Actinomycetota
Description: Actinobacteria bacterium (hot springs metagenome) tRNA-Ala
Rfam family: tRNA
About the family: Transfer RNA (tRNA) molecules are approximately 80 nucleotides in length. Their secondary structure includes four short double-helical elements and three loops (D, anti-codon, and T loops). Further hydrogen bonds mediate the characteristic L-shaped molecular structure. tRNAs have two regions of fundamental functional importance: the anti-codon, which is responsible for specific mRNA codon recognition, and the 3' end, to which the tRNAs corresponding amino acid is attached (by aminoacyl-tRNA synthetases). tRNAs cope with the degeneracy of the genetic code in two manners: having more than one tRNA (with a specific anti-codon) for a particular amino acid; and 'wobble' base-pairing, i.e. permitting non-standard base-pairing at the 3rd anti-codon position.
Source: RNAcentral